GGCCUGGUAGCUCAGUUGGCUAGAGCGUUGGCUGUUCUUAAGUCUUCCCCUUGGUGGCGUGGGUUCGAAUCCUAGCGAGGCCG
This 83-nucleotide transfer RNA is filed under the name Schistocephalus solidus. It matches the Rfam family "tRNA". Rfam says of the family: Transfer RNA (tRNA) molecules are approximately 80 nucleotides in length. Their secondary structure includes four short double-helical elements and three loops (D, anti-codon, and T loops). The record is from Rfam by way of RNAcentral. Lineage: Eukaryota; Metazoa; Platyhelminthes; Cestoda; Diphyllobothriidea; Diphyllobothriidae.